UUCAUGAUUGGUCAUAAGUGGGCGUUCCGUCUGUUCUUUGACGUUAGGGUUUGAUUGGUCAGCUGUUGCUCUUGGCGUCACUGCGCUGCCAGCUGAUCGAGAGGAGAAGCCGGUAUGAGGAGAGUUAAAGCGGAGACUGAGGACGCAGCGAUAUGUGGGCUAGAUUGUGAAAUUUAGGACGCAAGACUAAUGGUGUCAUGUUGAAGUUGAGUAAUUAUAUUGUUAAUUAUUUCUGUAACACUGUCGAGUUGUCUUGAGUAGGUUAGGAUUAGAUAUUUUAGCUAAGUCGCGCUUCAGCUCUUUGAUGUCAGGAGUGAUUUGAGGUUAAGGUGUGGCUUUCAGCUAAAAGACGAUUUACUUAAAUUGUAGCCGAGCUUAUAUUUAAUUCUUCGACAUUUAGCCUUUGUUUACAGUUAGAGUGAGACUCUAAAGUGGGCGAGAGAGAAUGGAAAUGGGAUCGGGACAUGACCCGGGUCAGAAUCGAACUUGAGUUCCCAAUGAGCUUUUAAAUGUCGUUUGUGCGCCAGAACUGUGUCUGAACGGAGUCAUGAGGGUUUUAACGGGUUUCGCGAGGAUUUGAUACGCGUGUCACCGGGGAGAUAUUUAAAUCCAGGAAGCGUUCGGUUACACAACGGAGGCCAGUCGUUCGAUUACCGUUGCAACAUUCGUUCUAACUUUUCGGAAGUGUGUGAACCCACUUUAGAACAAAUGGAAUCUGUUACAUUCCAUUGGAAGAGAUCGCGAGAGCGUUCAGAGUUGAGCCGUGCAGGGCGUGAGCCGCACGCUAGUAGACAGUCAGAAUGAGGGGGGAAAACCAUUGCGAAAAUAAAGGACGUUACGCCAGAUUUAUGUGGUGACUGGGAGUUCGAACCGCUUUCCAGCGUGACAUACGAAUCGAUCAACGAGAGAAAUAGAGAAUUCUACCAGUGAAGUAAGUAACGUUAGGUGUUGCACAUUUCUCUCAAAGGUAUUUGUCGAAAAACUCAAUAUUGCACCGAUAUCGAUUUGACGCUAUUUAAGUCUGAGAAUUAACGCUACUGUAGCCUAUUAACACAGACAGCUGAUAUUACAGUGGGCGUUGCACUAAUUUCAUUAAACUCAUAUCGCCUGACGUAUUUCCUUCGUGAUUUUUAUUUCCUUUGCUUGUUUUUCUUAUUUGUAUUCUAUUUAUUCUAAUUUUUAGCUUUCUUAAGAGGGCAAGGAACAGGCCUUAAAGAGAUAAUUAACCUAAAUGAAUAUUUAGUCAAAAUGUACUCACCUUCAUGUUUUAAACCUGCAUGAGCCGCAUAAAAAGAGAUAUUACGCAGGAUGACAGCCGUAGUCCCCAUCCACUUUCAUUGAAUAUAGAAAUAUUGCAAAGUGAAAAGUGACUGACCUCUUAUUGCGCCUCACAUUUUCUCGUUUUUUUUUUUUUAAUACAGCGGAUCGAAAGUUAACCAGGUUUGUAAAAAUAUGGGUGUUAUUAAAGGACAGUGAACUGUCACUUUAAGAUAAAGCUUAUAACACGGCGAAUUUGGUCUACGUCUGUUUAAGAUGAAUAACAGGAGCAACAGGAGGUUCUGCUUUAGUCUGCGAGAGAUGGCGAAGAUCAAAAAAUUAGUUUGGGUAGCUGGAUAGUAGUGUAUAAGUAUGGAUUUGUCCAUGACACAACGCUUAAACAUCGUCUCAGAUUCGUGAUCAUGCCUAAUAUCUGGAGUGGAGACCUCCGUUUCAACAGUAUGCCAUUAUGGAUUUCUUCUUACAUCUGAAUGACGGCCAACUGCUGAAGGUAAGUUAUGAAAUAUGACUGUUACGGGGGUGGCUUUUACAGGUGGUGAGAGUGAUAUGUCAGAACUGAUAUCAAAUCAUCUUUUCAGCUUCUACAAUUUUUCUAAUAUAUUAUAUCUUGAAUUAGUGGAUCUGUUUAAGCAAUAAAAUGUUGAAAAACAUCCUUAACUCAUGUUGAUGCAUCUGAUUUAAUUGGUUUCGUUGUUAAUUGUUUCAAUUAAAAUACAUUUUAAGUCAUGACGUACCAUACUGUUACCUACCAGCAUUAGCAGAAUUAAGAUAAUGAGUGAGGUUAUGACGUUAAAAACAGAUUGUCCUUUUAGUGAUCUUUAAUCUAAACCAUACGAUUACCUAAUCUAAAGAUUUAUUAUUAUUAUUUUAAGAAAGUCCUUGACUAUUUAAUGUUAGCUUAAGAACACUUUUUCCUUUAUUUGUUGCUUAUGAACUUAGAGCUGAUUAUGAAAUCUUAUUAAUUUACUGAGACUUGCAAAAAAGGUCACAUGACUGAAUAUGAUAUGCAUAAUUGUCUGGUUUUUAACUCUUGUUUAAAUGCACUGAAACUACAUUUAAGAAAUUGAUUUUUUUUUUUAAUUUUUAUAAAUCAAUGUUUUUUAAAUAACUGUAUUCAGAAUUAAUGUUUAUUUAAAUUCCAUAAGUUUAAGUGGUAAGUUGUUCUGUCUACGCACCUUAUUUAGGGGUAGAUGCCUAUUUUAUAUUUUCUCAAAUGAAAACGAGGCUAUACUGAGGUCUGUUUAAUGUGUUAUUGUGUAGCUCAGUCUCGAUCAUUCAGCUGAUGUAACAUUGUUUGUCUCUAAGCAAACUCUGAAAAAAUGUGUUAAGAACUUGAUGUAUGACCUUAAAACAAUAUAGCCUAUAAAGAUUUUCCUUGCAGCCUUGUUUUAAUUUGUGAAAAUUUAAAUGGCGUCCACCCUGAAUAAAUUCAAUAUGUCUGAAUAAAUUAAGGGCUGUUAAAUGACGUACAUGUCAUUUGUAUCCACUUUAAAAUAAGCAAGUUCAGAUUGAAAUAGCUCAUUAAAGAAGCAGCGCAGUGCAGUUUGUGGAAAAAAAAGGAACAUUUGUUCUCCUGCCCAGGAUAAUCACCAACAGUAGAAAGGUUGGACAUCUCACAUCAGUGCGUAGAGGUCUAAUUUUCUUGCAAUCUUUUCAAUGCAAUGAGUUCAGUAAGAGCAAUUCUUAUUUUCUGAUUCAAGUGUCUGUGGAGCUAAAGGUGGGAGUUCAAGAGUCUUUUUGCUAGAAAAUAUUUGUUUUGUGAACCCAUUGUCUGCUCUUGCACUUGUGUACGCUGCUAAUUGAGUUUAUUCUUCAUCCAAGCGUGGCUGUAAAUAUACCGAAAUAUAACAGAGGAGUUUGAAUCUCACUGGACAGUUUGUAAACCAAAUGGAGAAAUCACUAAGAAGGAUGUUUGAUCGCUAUUUAAGGUAUCUGCCGUUCAAAAUGCUUCCUCUGUUUAGUUUUUGACACUUAUUGGCUUUACUGUGAGGCCAUUCUAAAACAUUGAACUUUUCUAAGUUCAUUUUUUGCUGGUUCUUUAACGUUGGGCCUUCAUGGAGAUUCAUGAAUAAAUCUGUUUGGAGAAAAAAAACAUAGCAUGUAACUCAGACAACUGCAUUCGUGGACAUGAGAAAUGUCAUAUCAUGAGAGUUUUGGAACCACACCCAUUUUACACAUUUUCACUUCUCUGCAGGCCUCUUUGAGAUUAAGAUUUUUUUUACACUCUCAUUUGUGGACAUUUAAAAGUUUUUUUUGGCAUACAUUCCACUGUUGCCUCCGUAAUUGGUGCAGUAUCGUGCAGCACAGGCUGUGAGUGGGGUUUUUUUUGCAGAUGAAGCUCGGCUGUGACAGUGAUUUGCCUGUUUGGCAGGUUGCUGUAGUUUUCUUGAGUGUGGGAGGGGUGGAUCUCACAAGAAGGUCUGCUGUUGUCUCAAGGACAGUGGAGCUUCCCUUCUGUGCAGCCCCACAGUCCUGUGGGACCAAAUGCUGGACGCACAGACGGGUUUGUGCUACAAGGUUUCAGGAAGUGAGCCUGCAGAGCUUCUGUCCACAUUUUCGUCCCCCGUAACAUUACGCAGUUAGAUUCCUAGCAGUACCUUUUCGCUGCCUAUUCGAGGCGAUGAUUCUGCACUGUCAGAGACUUGUAGACUUCUCGAGUGAGUUUGCUUCUGCUGUCUACCCUGAGGGACCUGUAUAAUCUCCCUUUGAUUAAAUGGGCUGCAGGCUUUGUGUUCCACACCGCCAUGUAAGUGACCCAGUUUGGGGUUUUGUGCUAUUGUUCUUCUUUGAAUUUCUGUCCUCGACAUGCAAGGCGGCGUACACAUACGAUGCCCCAAACUCUAAAUAUGGAGCUCUUUCAUUCUAUACAGAGAAAACAUUUUGUAUUUUUUUUUUUUAAACCUGUUGACUUCACUUGCGGACUAUUUCUCUGUGUCUGUCUUUCUUUUAAGGCAGCCAAGCUAGUUCACCUCAGCAGUAUAGAGUGUGAGCUGGCCAGCUCUGUGGGAGGGUGGAGUCAGUCCAGCACGGCGUAUCUCAGACAGCAUGGAGGGCCUCUGCAGACAGAAUGGAAUUUAUACCAUAUGUACCAGGCAUCCCAAGAAUGCAUGGCACAGAGACUUGACCAACGGAAAGAACUGCAGAAAGUGCAAUGGAAAGGGUGAGAGACCGAGAAAAGAGGGCGGGAGGGCAAGCUGCAGGAAUGAACCUGUUGAACAUAAUUCCAUCAGUGUUUCUUAAGGAAAUAAUUAGUCCUUGGAUAAGUGAUAGAUAGACUGUAGAUUUCAUAUCUGUAUAUUUUAGCUAUUUAACUGAAAUAGAACAUUAAAUUAAAAAGUUCAGAAGUUUGGGGUAAGAGUUUUUUUUUAAACCAAAUCUGACUAUUAGAUUGAUUUCUGAAGGACCAUUUGACACUGAAGAAUGGAAUUCUGACUGCUGAUAAUUCCGCUUGGCUGUCACAGGAAUAAAUUACAUUUUAAGAUAUAUUAUUGAAAUUAUAAUUUUACAGUAUCACUGUUUUUACUGUAUGUUUCAUCAACUGUUUGCAUCCUUGGUGAGCAUAAGAGGCUUCUUUCAUUACCAUAAAAAAAAAAAAAAAAAAAAAACUGUUGAAUGUUAAAAUGGAUAUAUUUGAAUGGAGAAGCAGGAUGUAUUUGUGACGUCUGUGUUCCAGACGUGCCCUUGGUGAGUCUUCCUGUUUACCUCGUUGACUUCACAAACAAACGAUCGUCAUUGGAAAGCCCUUUGGGUACAGGUGCAUAUCUAAAUAGCUUUGUGUCAUUUUCAAUCGCAGUACUACAUACUCUCACCAAAUCAGUUGCACUCAGAAAGUAAUUUUGGCUGAGUCAUUCGCCGUGCCAUGGCACAGUAUUAAAAGCAUAAUUUGAGUCAAAUCAAAGCUUUUGCUUCCUUUGCUGUGCUGGGAGAGGCAGCUGCCGCUCUGAUAUCUGCUAACAUUGAUUCAGAGUUCGGCGGGUGGGGUGGGGUGAGAACAGGCAAUGCUUUGUCAUUACAACAACCGACAUUAUGAAAGAAGCUUCAUUUGAGUUACUGCCUAUUCAUGGUUUACCAGCUGCCAUCAGCUUCCUUUUGCAUGAGCUGCUAAUACAGAAUGUUCUUCUGUAGAAUGUAGUCCAGUGUAACCGCAUUGGAGAGGAGCGGGGAGGAGGUCUGGACUUGCUAAAGCUAUGUACUCAUUCACACACGCGUACAAGCAGCAGGGCUGUAGAAUGAUGUGCCAGAACUCACUCUCUUAUUUAUUUAUUUCUUUUUUUUAAAACUGAACCUAAAUCAUCAGGUUCACAGAACAAGGUUUAAAUUGGUAUUUGGCUGUGCCACAAGCUGUGUUUCACAAAAUAACGAGAAGAAGCUGAAGCUUCGUUUUUAAUCUUGCCCAGAUGUUCUGCAUUCUUUGGUGCUGCAAUCUGCAUUUCAGAGGAACGAGCUAAAGAAAGCACAAUUACCUCCCAAGUUCUAAACUUCCCUAUUUUUCUCAAGGCAGUACCUUGCAUUAUGUGGCAGUCAUUGCAGUUCAUUUAUGCAUGUGCCUGUGAUUUCAGUGUAGUGUAUGUAUGUUCCAUUCAUUCCAGAAAGUUGUGACCCCCUUUCUAACAGCAGUGUGACUAUUUGUGGGAUGCUCAUCGCACUCUUAAAGGCUCUGACCACUUCCUCUGGCUACAUGUGUGAUUCAGGAGCUCUUGUUCGAGAUUUACAGAAUCCCCACCCCUCAGUCUUGAUGAUUAGCCGGAGAUUACAUGAAUUCCUGAAAUGGCUUCGCCGCUUCCGCGUUGUCCAACAGUCAUUUCCAUUGUAUAACCCAGAUGGAAUUUCCUCUUUAAUAUCAAACUAUUUUGCCUGCAUGUUUUUCUGUUUGUCAAGUGUCUGGAGGAAGCGGUUUAGAGCGGUCUGUCUUGGAUGUCGGAGGCAUGAAUAGCAGGCAGCUCUUUGAGUCCUUGCACAACCAUCAUAUUAAUUCUGGGGAAGCAGUGACAGGGUGGGGCUGCUGGGAUGCAAAUGCACACUUAAAUAUGCCACGCCCCUUUUCCUUUGGGGUUCCUCGGGUGAUAUCUUGUGGUCUUCCUACAUAAGAUCAAGAUUUGGCUACACAUUUCAGAUUAAGGCUAAGAUUUCCUUCCUUGAGCGCUUUCUGUGGCAAUGACUUGGUCAUGACGUGAAGAUUUGUGUUCAUCUGAACUAUAUAUAGACUUUUAAUUUUUUUUGUGACCGUGCUCACUUCAUCAAUUUUGGAUUGGCAGGGUAAGCACGCUUGUACCAAGACAAAGUCUGGGAGCUGAGAGGAGGAGCAGGAUAUAUACAUGAAGUCUGUGUCCCGGACGAGCCCUUGGUAAGUCUUCCUGUUUACCUUGUUGACUUCACAAACAAUCGUCAUUGGAAAGCCCUUUUGGUACAGGUAAAUUUUUCUCCUUCCUGGUGUCUGCUGGUUGUUUUAGUCUUUUCAUCUGUGCAUUAGUGAAUGGCAUCCAUUUAUCAAUCAAUGUCUGCACUUCUCCAUUUCUCACUGUUCCCUGCCCGCUGGUUGACUCAUGCAGUGAUUCAUGGCAGAAUUACUGGAGCCACCUCAGCAUUUGAAGCAUCGCUGUUGGAACGGUGAUUGCCUGGUUUGAUGUAGGCAAAGUGACGCCUGAUUAAGGAUGGAGCCGAAAUGAAAAUGGUCAUUCUAUUCUGUGCACAUGUAAAGGCUGGUGAAUAAUGCACAAGACCUGCGGGACGUGGAGGAGAAUGGGUAAUGGAGUGGACUGGAUGCAAUCAGGCAUUUGCCCUAAAGUCCCAUAAAAACAGCUUUGGACACUCAAAUCUCUUUCAGAAAAACUAAAAGUGGCUUUGCAUGGCAGAUUGGGAUCUUUUAAAUUCUGGUGUGUGUUUGUGGAAAUUUGUUAAAAAUUAUGCAGCCACUGACUUCCGGUUUUAAAGAAAGGGCUGUUUUUUCCCCCACAUGCAGAUUAUCUGCUUGCAUGCUGUGUCAUUUCACAACUAAAAUGGAUUCUCGUAUCCCUCAGGGAUUUAGCGGUUUCCUUCCAGAGAUUCUUACUGCUUUCUGCCAGUUUAUGGUUCCAACCUUGCAUUUUUCCACAGUAGCAGAAAGAAAAGAGACUUUCAACUGCUGGGUGUGGUGUUCUCUUUCUCCUCUCAUUUUCUCUACUGUAGUCCCAGUGAGAGCCCCUGCUUGACGGGACAAGCAUGAAAGGAAUGUAACCUCUUCACCAUUGGCCUUGUCUCUGAUGAAUGGCGAGCUUGGGUCUUUCAAUGCCGGUUUCCAUUAAUAAUCAUUAUCUCGGCUCAGAAAUGACCUUGCGCUGCUUCUGUUCAGAUAAAUGUGGGAUUUCACUUUAAUUAAAGACCCCCUCCCUUCUUCACCAAGCCCAUUUGGUCACUUCCUGAUUAGUCAUCUGGAAGCUGAAGGGAAUGAGUAAUGCAUUGAUCCAUAGCUCAUUUUGGUAACAAUUUAUGUGAGCAUUGAAGAAUUUAACGACUAAUGGCUAAAUAAAGUAGGUGAAUAAGUAUCUGUUUAUACCGAGGGUGUAACAGGACUUGCUUUGAAAAAUCUGAUCUGUGACCUCUUUCCAUGGUCUUGCAGAUGUUGGACAAGCCCAUUUGACCCUAUACCACCAUCUUUGCCAGCUGGAUUGAAGAGCACCUUUGUCUUUAACCUGCUGUUCAGUGUCUGCUAGUAAUGUGAGAAAGCUGUCAGUCUUGGACACCAUCGCUAGACAGCUGAUGCAACAGUUUAGGUGCAGUAAGGAGCACUAGAAAUGGAGGUAUAACUGUGCUUUUUGCACCACCUAAUCUCCCAUCUUGAGCCAUCAGUUGGGUAUUGAUUAAUUGGUAAAUUGGUAGGAAGGGCUAUAGGGAAGAAAAUGUCAGCAGAAAGUGCAGAGAGCGAGAGAAGGGCACAUACUUCUCAAUUUCCCAUUGCCUUGCAGAGCAGCCUGACAGUAGUUGUUUGGGAAGCUUCCACUGAUUUACAAAUAAAUCACUUCUUGGGAACACUGUGUUCUGUCCGACAGGAUUUGUAGGCAUUGUGUGUUUGUAUAUGUUGGUGAUUCAUAGUGUGUGAGAGAGACCGCAAGAAUUUAAACAUGCUCCAUUGUGUCCAUUGCAGACUACUUGUAGCCAGUUGCUCUCUGAGCGUCUUGACUGGGUGGGGACAUCAAAGACCAUGCAAAGGACCAGUGAAAAUACAGGGUUUUUUUCACCCUAGGAGUGGGUUGGAGAGCAGUGUCUGGAUUUUCCAUAACUGCAUGUUAUCCAGCUCCAUUUUGUCUGUGCCGCCCAUUCUGUGGGGUUAAAUCCAUGGGUGUCACGAUUUUAGAGAGCACAUUAUAGUGUGACUCUGGGCAGUAGUUUGUGAUUGUGUUCAAGUCUUGUAACUGAAGCUGACGGCCCUCCCUUCCUGCAGUGUCCUGGACAUAGGAGGAUCUUAUCUCCGCCUUCAGACAAAGGACGAUUCAACCGCCCCGGUGUCUGAUAACAGCAGACUUAUGACCUAGCGGAAGGGGGGCACUGCAGCCGAAUGUAAUUUCCGUCACUGAAAACAAAAUAGAUGCAGUGAGCAUCCAUUUCUUCUGUGUCUUUGUUUAGACUCAAAAUGGGUCAAUAAAUUAUUUUAGUUUUAUUUUUCUAAUGUUGCACGUUAUAUCUAUAGAAUAUUGGUUAUCAUCAGCUGAUAUUGGACAUUUAUGGUUAUUUUAAAAUGCCUCUGCCAAAACUCACUUAAUGUAAAAAAUUUUAUAAUACUGCUAAAGUAAAAUCUGAAAAAUGAAUUUCCAUAUUUCAUAUUGUAUGGGGUUUCCCUUAAGUCACUUGUAGCAUUUACAGUGCAAACAAUUGAUUUAACUUUUAAAUGUGUUUUUAAUUUAGUGUAUUUCGACACAAGUGUAUUUCGACACAAGUGUAUUUUAAUAUUGGUCAUUUAUUAAGUAUCGAACAUAAAAUAAAAAUCUUGUUUUUAUCAGUAUUGAGGACAAUGUUCUGUGCAUCCCCAGUCACAUGUAGUUUAAAAUCUAAUUAGAGAGAGAGUGUGUGUGUGUGUGUGUGUGUGUGUGUAUUAUUAUUAUUAUUAUUAUUAUUAUUAUUAUUAUUAUUAUUAUUAUUAUUAUUAUUAUUAUUAUUAAGGUAUUCAUUCAAUUAAUUUAUUUAUAUAUGGAAUGAAAUUGGAAGUUUUUGGAAUGUUGUCUACAGGAGUGUCUGAAAUGAAUACUAAUGUGCAUUGUGUAACAUUCUCUACAGUAUAUAGUGAAAGCGCGAACAAGACAGCUGUUUUGAACACAUUAAUGAAUGCAUAACAUGUCUGUCUUGUCCCAACACCAAUCCGUAUUUGUGCAGUGUGAACGCCCUGUGAAUUUGUUUUUCUAUCAGGCAGCUCAAGGAGUAUGGGCAAAUCAUCCAUCCAUCCAUGCUGUUUGGCAAGAGUUGGCAUUUCCGAGUUGUGGGUGAGAACGUGUGUGUGGAAGAGACCGAUGGAGCAAAGCUGAGUGUGUGUGGGAGUGCUAGUCUAGAGCCAGUCGGUGCUUUGCAAACUGGACCCUUUUCUGUGGUUCAGUGAGAUCAGUGGGUCCUUAGAGGCCCUGCCCAUCCAGCACUCGUCCUUGAACUGCAGCAAAAGCACAGAGCUUUAUAUCCUCCUUUAGCACUGUUCAAGAUCAAUGGCAGAGUGAGGCCCAGAGAUGGCCUGUCUAUGAGAGAAAAAAGUCAGAAAGGAAAUGAAACCAUACUUCAUGAGCUUCCCCGAGAGAAGAGUGAAUGGCCUGAUUUUUGGCUGCUUACAGGAGAUUCUUUAGUUAAAUGAAGCAGACUUGUUUGAAAAUGAAACUAAACCUUUAAGUCAAUUGGAUGAAGAGAGACUUUUAAUUUGGUGUGAGUGUUAGAUGGUCUCCUUGCAGAACAGUUCAAGCAUGAUCAAACGCUUGGGUCCUGUGCACAGGCAGCAGAUCUAUCUGUACUCCAUUAAAUGCAGGAGCUGAGCUGAGUGAAUGAAUGCUGAAGCAGUAGCAGGCCUGCAAUACCUCAGGGGCAAAGAACACAUGACUAGACCGCUGCUCUUCCUCUCUUCCUUUCUGUCUCUAGCGAGAGAACCCUAAAAGAGAAUGUAAAAUGCUCUUCAUUUAUUUCUUUGCUUACUGAAUGCAUUUAUAUAUAAUUGUUAUAUUUGUGUAAUUUAAUUUAUUCUUUAUUCCUAGAUUGAUUGAAGCAAUGUUUCCUAAAUUGGGAUAAUGAAGCAUUUUUAAAAAUGUAUAUACAUUUUCUUUAAUCCAAUUAUUUUUUUUUUUUAUGAAUGUUGAAUAGCAUAUUAGAUUUUUGCUUUGGUAUCAAAAUUGGUUUCAAGACUCUGUUUCACUGGUUUUGGUGUUGGCAACUGAAUUUUACCUUACCUGAAAGGGUUAGUUCACCCAAAAAUAAAAAUUAGCCCAUAAAUUACUCGCCCUCAAAUCAUCCUAGGUCAACAUGACUUUCUUCAUUCAGACUAAUACAGUUGGAAUUAUAUAAAAAAUUGUCUUUUAUUUUUCAAGACUCUUCAAGUUAUUUUUUCGUGUCUCACACGGCUCUGGGGGGUGUUGAACAAAGGCCUCCUGUAGAGAAUCUAUGCGUUUUUGUAAGAAUUGAUCGAUAUUCAUAAUUUAAUAAUCUCAAAAAAAAAAAAAUUUUGUUUGUUCUUUUUGUUUUUUUUAUUGGAUGGGUGCUUUUUUAUUACAUUUAUUUUGUCUGAUGCAUGCAACACCCGUUGAGUGCCAUUUAAAGUGACAUUUUAUAUAACUCUUUAUAUAACUCCGACUUCAUCUGAAAGAAGAAAGUAAUAUACACACAGGAUGAUUUGAGGGUGAGUAAUUUAUGGGAUAAUUUUCAUUUUGGGUGAACUAACCCUUUAAAGAAGAAUUACAAUGGACUUUAAUAUUUUCCUGUGUCCUUUUUUUUUUUUUUUUUACUGUUACAGCUAACUUGCUAUUAUUGUCCUAUCUUAUUUCUCCUCAAACUGUCCUUUCUUUAUUUGCCUCUGCAGAUCAUGCCUUGGCCUAUUACUACAUUUUCUGCGGAGUAUCGGGAACAGACUCUGGGAAGGCCACUGGCUGACCUGCAGCAGUUCUUCACUGGCAAGCUUUAUGUCCUUGUGUACCAGCUAAAGCUGCCAGCUGAAGAACUGUUGUGGUUGGCUCUUUCCUGGCAUGUCAGCACAGAGAUGGCAAUGCAGAGGUAACAGCAUAAUUCCAGACAGUCUAUCAGGCAGUAUCAACCAAUCCUGGAUCAGACGGAUCCCAUUUUUGCCUUUCCCUCCAGCAGCCAGCUCACGUGAACUGCCUGAGCUUGGCCGUUCGUUAUUAUGAGGCAUAAACAAAGGCUACCAUACGGAGUCCAUGCUGACUCGGUCACAUUCCCGGCCCGGUGAGGGUCCCUUGCCCUUAUUUGGGUGUGGAGCAGGACAGGAGUGGCAUUCUGUGCUCUCAACCAAUCUGACAGAGGUGGCCAUCUUCCUCUCUGAUGUAGCAAAUAGGGGACCUGAUGUUUAGUGGGCGGAAACAUUAAGUACUACUAAAAUUUGUGUACUUAUAGAUGUUUCCAUGCAUUCUGGAGACAUGCCCCUUAGGCGUUGAUGUGCUUGUGUGUUUAAAGUUGCAGGAAUCCUCCAGGGAACAAUGAUGAAAGACUGCAGAGCAAAUGUAGCUUCCUCUUUCCCUUUCGAGGCCAUUCUAUGGCGUGUGUGUGUGUGUGUUUAUGUGUUUGUGCAUGUACGCAUCUAACCUUUAUCACACAGAUCUGCCUAUAUUCACAUCCUCAACACGUCAACUGAUCUUACGCAAGCCGUAAAUUCCUCAAGGCCGACUUCUUCAGCACAGAAAACAGGAUAUGAAAAUACAUCCCUCUAAAUCCUCCCAGCCAGAUGAAAACUGAGAAUAUUCUAGGUAUUUAGCAAACCCAGAUGCCGCGUGCCGGAAAUAUGCUCUUCAUUCCUUGCUCUCCAAACAUCUACAAGAUCUCAACAGGUUCUCAUACGUCACAGUUUUGCACAUGUAACCAUACCUUCUCUCAAGUGCUUCUUCAGGUCAUGGGCGACGAUCGCCUAUGUGAUCCUCUCUAGUCUAAUGUCAAUCUGUCCACAAGUGCAUUAAAAGAUUGUUGAGGGUCGUCGUCUCAGCUGCUCUUAAAGAGACGGCUCACGUAAGAAGCUCGGCCUGUCUGUGUUGCAGGUGUACUUAGGCCGUGGUAAGUACAGUAUGCUUCUGUCAGAAAUUCCUCUUUAAAGUCAGUCAGUGAGAGUUGACAGCUACAUUUAGAUUAGAUUACUAUGAAGGUCCAAAUUUUCAAUAUGGAAAGUGUGACUGAAUGAUAUGAUGCUCAAAUAAAGAAGUAAAAUGGCUUUUGGGAA
Molecule: long non-coding RNA, 12655 nt
Organism: Carassius gibelio (silver crucian carp)
Lineage: Eukaryota; Metazoa; Chordata; Actinopteri; Cypriniformes; Cyprinidae
Exons: 2
Source: RefSeq, a predicted model, not a curated record